UUCCUGCUGAGGCCUCAGUGGAAGUCGUCAUCAGUGAUGCUUUAGGGGUCUAGUGACACCAAUAACCGUGAUCUCAGUGGAAAAGGGCACAGUGUGUCCCAGGCAUUUCGCGUUUAUGUUAAAACGGGUGGAAGAUAGAAAGCCGGCAGAGGCCGGGCUGCUGCACCCGCCUGUUCCGAGGUGGGUAGGGGGUGGGGGGCUGUUCCCAGGAUUCCCCUCUACGCUUUCUGUGGUGACCACGGAUUACUGCGUGACAACGGGAAGCCGGGAGCCGAGGCCCGGUCCCUGACCACGCGUGCCUGGCCACCCCUGCAGGAGGACUGCCACCAGAAGAUCGAUGACCUCUUCUCCGGGAAGCUGUACCUCAUCGGCAUUGCUGCCAUCGUGGUCGCCGUGAUCAUGAUCUUCGAGAUGAUCCUGAGCAUGGUGCUGUGCUGUGGCAUCCGGAACAGCUCCGUGUACUGAGGCCCCGCAGCUCUGGCCACAGGGACCUCUGCAGUGCCCCCUAAGUGACCCGGACACUUCCGAGGGGGCCAUCACCGCCUGUGUAUAUAACGUUUCCGGUAUUACUCUGCUACAUGUAGCCUUUUUACUUUCGGGGUUUUGUUUUUGUUCUGAACUUUCCUGUUACCUUUUCAGGGCUGACGUCACAUGUAGGUGGCGUGUGUGAGUGGAGACGGGCCUGGGUCUUGGGGACUGGAGGGCGGGAGUCCUUCUGCCCCUGGGGUCCCAGGGUGCUCUGCCUGCUCAGCCAGGCCUCUCCUGGGAGCCACUCGCCCAGAGACUCAGCUUGGCCAACCUGGGGGGCUGUGUCCACCCAGCCCGCCCGUCCCGUGGGCUGCACAGCUCACCUUGUUCCCUCCUGCCCCGGUUCGAGAGCCGAGUCUGUGGGCACUCUC
This 899-nucleotide small RNA is filed under the name Pan troglodytes (chimpanzee). RNAcentral describes it as "retained intron". Lineage: Eukaryota; Metazoa; Chordata; Mammalia; Primates; Hominidae. The record is from RNAcentral.